This 492-nucleotide ribosomal RNA is filed under the name uncultured bacterium. RNAcentral describes it as "partial 16S ribosomal RNA". It matches the Rfam family "Bacterial small subunit ribosomal RNA", at positions 29 to 507 of the family's 1533-position model. The record is from RNAcentral.
AGUGAACGCUGGCGGUAGGCCUAACACAUGCAAGUCGAACGGCAGCACAGUAAGAGCUUGCUCUUACGGGUGGCGAGUGGCGGACGGGUGAGGAAUACAUCGGAAUCUGCUUUUUCGUGGGGGAUAACGUAGGGAAACUUACGCUAAUACCGCAUACGACCUACGGGUGAAAGCAGGGGAUCUUCGGACCUUGCGCGAUUGAAUGAGCCGAUGUCGGAUUAGCUAGUUGGCGGGGUAAAGGCCCACCAAGGCGACGAUCCGUAGCUGGUCUGAGAGGAUGAUCAGCCACACUGGAACUGAGACACGGUCCAGACUCCUACGGGAGGCGGCAGUGGGGAAUAUUGGACAAUGGGCGCAAGCCUGAUCCAGCCAUACCGCGUGGGUGAAGAAGGCCUUCGGGUUGUAAAGCCCUUUUGUUGGGAAAGAAAAGCAGCAGGUUAAUACCCCGCUGUUCUGACGGUGCCCAAAGAAUAAGCACCGGCUAACUUCGUG